Gallus gallus (chicken) is the source of this 1280-nucleotide long non-coding RNA. NCBI's taxonomy places the organism in Eukaryota, Metazoa, Chordata, Aves, Galliformes, Phasianidae. The record is from Ensembl.
CUGCCAUGUGGCAUAUGAAGAAAUAGGUUCCACAAAAGAAUUCUUCUAUUGAAUGUAUGCUUCUUAUUUAUGGUCUUGGAUAAAUAAAAGUUGUCAAAUAACUAGAUUUUCUUCCUUUCUCACAAAGGAAUUGUCUACUGACAUUUUGUUUUCUCUUUUUGAAGGUCCUGGAGAGCCUUAACAGCUGAAAAUGUGUAUAUUAUGAGGAAAUUUAUGGACAUCUGAACUGCUGAAAUUUAAACAGAUUCAAAGAAAGAAGAACCUGACAGAAUCAGUGUUACAUUUCAGGAACUACCAGUCACUUGUCCAGAGGAAGAAUUAGAAUGAUAUUCAGAGUGUUUGGAAACAGAGGCAAAAGGGCAAGAGGUGUCCACAAUUACAAAAUUACAGUAAGUACACAAAUUGAUGACCGUAUUAAAGUUUAUUAUAUUAUCUUAUGGGUACUUAACUGAAGCAGUAUUUAGGAAGCCGUAUUUAGAAUGCACUUCAAGGAACUAGAGUUUAGGAACUAUGAACAAAAAACUAGAACCAUGACCUAAAGAACCACAGUGAACUUUUUAAGGCAUAAGCAGUGUAAGAGAAGCCAAGCCUUGCUUCAUGGAAAAGGAAGAAUGGAUUGAAGAGAUGAGAAGAACACAAUGAAACACAUCAGAUAGAAAACCUGGGGUAGCCUAGUGGGGUGAUCUGAAUGAAAGGAAAUGAAAAUUGAACUUGAUAGAAAAGGCAAAGAUGAAGCAGAGUAGGAGGAAAGAAAGGAAAGCAAGGAAAGAAAGAAUAAGAAAUUGCAUCAAAUCGCAUUCCUUUAUUCUGUUAUUGCAUGUUUUGUAGAGUUUCAUAAAAUUAGUUGCAGAACUGGAAAGGGCAUAGAAAUUACUUGGAAAAUUGAAAUGUGUGCUGUUAUAGUCUUCAAAAUUCACAAAUCAAUGAGUUAUGAUAUUAUUUUUUUUGUAUUGUACAUUUUUUUUCACGUUAGCCAUUCAACAUUUUUUAAUACACCUACCUUGAAUUUUUCUGUUCUGUUUCAUAGUAUGUUUUAUAGGUGGUGGUGUAGCUCUCUAUGUUAAAAGAGACUAUGAAUGUGUGGAAAUUAAUAAUGUUGAUGAUAGGGUUGAGAUCAUGUGGAUCAGAAUAAAAGCAAAGGCCAACAAGACUGACGCUAUUAUGGGAUUCUGCUACAGGCUACCCACCCAGGAUGAAGAGGUGGACGAGAGGCUUUAUAAACAGUUGGGUGAGGUCUCUAGGUCACUCCCCCUUGAUCUGGUGGGGGACUUCAACUUCCC